AGAAUCUUCGGCAAUGGACGAAAGUCUGACCGAGCAACGCCGCGUGAGUGAAGAAGGUUUUCGGAUCGUAAAACUCUGUUGGUAGAGAAGAACGUUGGUGAGAGUGGAAAGCUCAUCAAGUGACGGUAACUACCCAGAAAGGGACGGCUAACUACGUGCCAG
RNAcentral lists this ribosomal RNA (162 nucleotides) under uncultured bacterium. RNAcentral describes it as "partial 16S ribosomal RNA". It matches the Rfam family "Bacterial small subunit ribosomal RNA", at positions 358 to 511 of the family's 1533-position model. The record is from RNAcentral.